This 482-nucleotide ribosomal RNA is filed under the name uncultured bacterium. RNAcentral's name for it is "partial 16S ribosomal RNA". It matches the Rfam family "Bacterial small subunit ribosomal RNA", at positions 30 to 507 of the family's 1533-position model. The record is from RNAcentral.
AUUGAACGCUGGCGGCAUGCUUUACACAUGCAAGUCGAACGGUAACAGGCUGCGAGGUUCUGAGGAGUGGCGAACGGGUGCGUAAUGAAUCGGAACGUACCCUGUCCUGGGGGCUAGCUUCUCGGAACCGUAGCUCAUAUAGCAUACGAUCUCUGGAUGACAGCGGGUGGCUGUACGGGCUCGUGCGAUUGUGGCGGCGGAAGUCAGCUAAGGUAGUUGGUGGGGUAAAGGCUGUCCAAGCCCACCAUCUUUAGCUGGUCUGAGAGGACGACCAGCCACACUGGAACUGAGACACGGCCCAGACUCCUACGGGAGGCAGCAGUGGGGAAUUUUGGACAAUGGGCGCAAGCCUGAUCCAGCAAUACCGCGUGCAGGAAGAAGGCCUUCGGGUUGUAAACUGCUUUUGUACGGAAAGAAACGGCUCUGGUUAAUACCCGGGGCUAAUGACGGUACCCAAAGAAUAAGCACCGGCUAACUACGUG